This 1489-nucleotide long non-coding RNA is filed under the name Canis lupus familiaris (dog). RNAcentral describes it as "lncRNA (ENSCAFG00000053838.1, ENSCAFG00805026395.1)". Lineage: Eukaryota; Metazoa; Chordata; Mammalia; Carnivora; Canidae. The record is from RNAcentral.
AUGUGCCCAAAACCCCAAAGGCUCUAUUCCAAACCAAAAAAAAAAAAAAGAGAGAGAGAGAGAGAGAGAGAGAGAGAGAUAUUGGUAGAAGCAUGGAGAAGGAGUGCAAGAGGAGAGAAGGGAUACAGCUCUGGAUGUAAGGGUAGAGCCUCUGAGCCCAUCCAGCACAAUGCUCCAGGACAGGCUUGUCCCCUGGAGAUGCCAGAGUUUAUGGAUGGGAGAUUUGCUAGGAAAGACCCUGUACCCAUCCUUUGCAUCUCUUUCUGGGGUACAAUUGACCCAAGCAGGCUACCACACAGUCCUUGGUGCCCCGAUGACUUCACAAUGGAAUUGAUGAAUCUUGUCACCUCAUCAUUGCACAGUAGACUACCUCUUCAAAGAAAAUCCAGUUUAAAGCCUGAUAUGGAAAUGAAUGGAAAUGGACUGUUCCAGUUGAGUACUGGGGUGGAGGUGGGACAUUCAUCUUCAUUCCCCUCCCUCACUUUUUCCUGCACAGAGAUUCUGUUUUAUACUAGUCCAAGUGUGGACUUGCUGAGCUUGUGGCCAUUUACUGACUAGUUCUCAUUGUGUCGUGCCUCAUCUGGAAAUCUUCUUUUCUCCUUUCUCUUCCACUUGAUCCCUGUGAAAAAUAUCUCCUCUUCCUUUGUAUUCAGUUCAGCAUCACCACCACCCUCACCCUCAACCCAUGCAAAGCCUGUGCUGACUCCUUAGGCAAAAAUCAAGAGACUGUUGAAUAUAAUUGCUUGGAUAUAUUCUUAUCUAUCCCAUUGACUGAGCUGCUGGAGACGAGUGAGAUGCAUUAUUUAUCUUUGCAUGUGGACCAUCAUGGGAGUUUCAUAAAUAUCUGGGGAACAAAGAAAACAAAAUUCAUAAACGUAAUCAUUAUUUUCCUCUCCAAAAACAUUAAUUAACACACAGGGCUCAAUCUGGAUAUUAAGGAUACUUGUCACCAUGCAGAUGUACAUGUAUUUGGAAAUGAAUAUAUGAUGUCUUUCUUUUUACAAAUAUAUUCUCAACUCACUGGAAUUGUGUUUGUGCAUAAAUAUUUAGGUGGCAUAAUCACAACUUUUUAAAGCAUGUAAUCUUCAUAUCAUUUAUUUUCUCUUUGUAUUUACCAUGCUUAGUAAAACUUUGCCUUCUGAAGCUGAAUGCUUUAUUCCUCUUCUAGGUUUCAUCCAUCCUUUGUUCUUGCGUAGUUAGGUUUAAAGAUUUGUAGAAACAUGGUGAUUCUGUGGUACGUGCAGAAUUCUCAGGAGAAUUCUAGCUGUAAAUGGGACAAAUGAGGACUAUGACUUUGACUCCAGUGGCCAGCAGUGACCCUCUGAGCACCAAAUGUACUGCACUGCACAUAGAUCCCAGAGCCAUGGUACCUGGAUUUUAGACCCGAUACAAAAGAGACUUCAUAAUAGCAAAUUUUGUUCAUUAAGCUAAAGUGCUUUAAGGUGAAUUCAUGGUAGAAACCUCAUUAAAGGCCAAUAAAGAAAGAAGC